RNAcentral lists this long non-coding RNA (17653 nucleotides) under Lotus japonicus. Its description in RNAcentral is "long non-coding RNA (LJAP_LNC002039)". The record is from RNAcentral. Lineage: Eukaryota; Viridiplantae; Streptophyta; Magnoliopsida; Fabales; Fabaceae.
GUUAUGAUGCUUUUCCAUAACUUGUGAUGUUGUGCUUUUGUUGGAUUGUGCGCUUUGACGCAACUUCGGAGUGGAGAUUCAUUGAUCUGGUGAUCUUUGAUAUUUCGGGUUGGAUGAACAACCCUAGGCAAGUUCAAACGAGGGGUUUGAGACUUAGCCAUUUGUUGGUAUUCGUUGGUUUACUUAGACUUUCCCCGGGAAACUUCUUUUGGGUGGUUGGUUUUCGGAAAACUUAGAAUGAUUAGACUUUCGAAAACUAGAGACUUUGGGGAGACUUAGACUUUGAGAAAUAAACUCAUAACCUGAAUAAUCCAAUUCAAAAUGUUUUUACUAAACGAAUAAUCAUAGGAGAACUAAAGGAGAAAAUAAUUGCGAAAGACGGGGAAAAGUCGACUUUGUUGUGGGUUUGGAGAGUUUUGGAAUUUGGAAGCCACUAAGGUGAGCUAUGGUGAUGAUUGAAAGUCACCGAGUACUCUAGUACUCUUGGGAGUGUUGUUGGAGCCGUGUAGUAUUGACCGACACAUAGUGCUCUUGUUGUUUGGGCUGUGUUGUAUUGACCGACACUAGACCCUUGUGUAUUCUUGUUGGUGGAGUUGUGUUGUAUUGACCGACACUUACUCCGAGUUGUGUUGUAUUGACCGACACGUUUUGGCUUCUGAAACUCCUCUUUUCAAUCCUCUUUAAGUUCUCCAUCAAUUCCAUGCUUCUUGGCCUUCUUUCUCCUUCAGUUUCUGCUCUCCAAACCUAACCAACAAGUCAAGGAAGAUUCUAGAAGCUCAAAGAGCUCAUUAGCACAAGAGGUCCUUCAUAACACAAAAGAAAAUCAUGCAAGUCCUAAACUUAACUUAAAAUGCAAGAAAACUCCCUAUAAAACUACAAAAUUACCAAAACAAAACAAAGACUCAAGAAAAGAUAAAAAUGCAUGAGAAUGCAUGAAACACUACAUGAGACACAAGAAAAAGACUCAAAACCUACAAGGAAAAACCCUAAAAACAUCAUAUAAACCCGGGUCAUCAGUUCACCUGUGCAUAUCAUGGUGAAUAACGGGAAUGGUUCACCUUGCAUUAAUGAUGAAUAACGGGAAUGGUUCAUCAUAUGGUGAAUAACGGGAAUGGUUCACCAAGGAUGAAUAACGGGAAUGGUUCAUCCAGGAUGAAUAACGGGAAUGGUUCAGCCAUAGUGAAGAACGGGAAUGCUUCACUUGUGGCGAACGGGAACGCGUCACAAAUCCGGAUUCAUGAUUGCAUUUCACGCAUACAUUCAUUCUGACUUGAAUUGUGUGCUGGUUGUUUAUUGAAGCAUUGUUAGAGCCAUAACAUGCUAGGAUUGUUUAUAUAUAUAUAUAUAUAUAUCAACAUAUAUCUAUACCCCAUAUCACAUGUUGAGUGUAUAUCUACUUAUUUCUGUGAGUUGACCCUAGCACCUUGGCUUUGGUUGCAUGUUUGUGUUUGGGCGGUCGGCCUGCUGCCAGAUGUCGAUGGCCGAUUGGUUUUCGAUGGUCUCUCCCUCGGGGGGGGAUCAGGUAUGAGCUCGUCGAUCGUGCUGCCCCCACCUCUUGGGUGAUCGAUGUCCCUGGUCACCGAGCGACGUACAGGGGAAGGGUUGUAACACCCCGAUUUCGGUGGCGUCACUUUAGUAACUCAAAAUAAAAUAAAGCCGAAAAGCAGGUAUUUUUUUUCGUUUUGUUUAAAUAAAAAGACUUGUCGAAAUAAAGACUCAACCCAAUCGCGAUUAACAGCGAUUAAUAUACAAUACAAGCACAGCCCUCGCUGCAACUAAAAACAUCGUCACGAGUGACCUCCAGUGACGGAAAGGUAGUGCCCGUGGGCAAUUAUGUACAAACUAAAACAAAAGGUCAAGUAUUCUGAAUACAGUCCUCCAACGAAAGUAAGUCGGCCCAAAACGGCCUCAAAAGACUUCCUACGUCCGACAAACUCCCUGUGAUCCUCAUGGAAGGGAAUCACACGAAAAGCUAAUAGUCGGGGACCUGCCCUGCCCCAAAAUAAGGAAUGGCAAUCAGAGCUAUGACUCUAACAACCAACUCAAAGACUCUAACCACCCAUAUCUCACACUACUUUCAUCGACCCUUCCUCGAUCAGGCCUGAAGUCCGGGUCCUCGUCGAAAGCUUCAGUAAUAGUCAUUACGCUCCUGGUCCUCCUCGAGUGACGAGUCAUCACGAAUCGGCUGACGGACGCCUGGCAGCAGGCCGACCGCCCAAACACAAACAUACAAACAAAGCCAAGGCGCUAGGGUCAACUUACAGAAUACAAUAGAUAUACAACCAACAUGCGAUAAAGGGGGUAUAUAUAUGUUGUAUAUAUACAUAUAAGUUAUGCGUUGCCUACCCUAAGGUAUAUACAUGACAUGUUAUCAAAUCUCUUACACAAUUCUAUCAUCAAAACACAUAACGAUGUUUAUCAACAUCAAAUCAUCAAGUCUCAAUAAUUAUAGUUAGAGUGCAUGAUAUGUCAUACAACGGUAAUCAUAAUAAGAUGCAUGGUGUGCCAAUGCAGAAUAUGCUGACACAAACCCGAAUAACGUCACUCUGCUUGGCGACGGGACAAACCAAUGGUAUUGCCACUUAAAGGCUGGGCACCUCGAGACGGUCGUAACACUGGCCUCGUGUUUAACCAUUUCUGCUCGGGCGUCGCUUAUCACCUUUGGCUAUAGUCAAGACGAUCCAACUCUACAUGGUUCGACCAUUUCUGCUUGCUAUGCCGGACAUCAACAGGCACGAUACAACUCUACAUGGAUGAUCGUUACCUCCUGUUGUGCCAGGUAUAGUCAGGACCGAUUCAACUCUACACGGCUGAUCGUUGCUUCCUGCUAUACCGAAGUACUCCACUUGGCACUUCAUCGCGUGUAUGCAUGGGUGCAAUAUGGUUAUCUAAACAACGAUUCGUCCUCACAGGUAAAAUUGGUUCAUUGACCAAAGGCAUCUACAACGAGAAACCUAGGCUAUAGUCAAGUCGGUUGUGACCCCACGGGUUUAACCAUUCUGCUUGCUACGCCAGACAUCAACAGACACGAUACAACUCUACACGGCUGACCGUCACUACCUGUUGUGCCAAGUGUACUCUACUAGGUACCUUACUAACGCCCAGACCCUUGGCUAAAGCCCGUCUUCAAAUUCUUCCCCAUAAAAUGAGUUCCCUUAAAACAAUAGUUCUCUUAUUAGGUAAAAUGUUCCAUCGUGAAUUAGUCCAUUAUGUCGUUAAUUCCAAAGUUCAGUUUUUCAUUUCAAACACCUUUCAAAAUAAAGUUCCCAAAGCUAGAAUCACCGACCCAUUCCCGUUUUCCAACUCACUUUCAUUCCUAAGUCUUUUCCGUUGAAUCAUCGUCAUUAAUUAAAAACAUUAUAUUCUUAAUAAAUAUAUUAUGGAUUUAUUUACAUAAAACAGAUUAUGAUUAUUUUCAGUGCAAAACUCUAUAAGUUCAAAGUUUCCAUCAAACCCAAACAACUCCCCGAGAAAACACUAGAUCCCCUAGAACAAUGAAGGUUCGAACCUUGGUCCGACCUAACAAACGUUCCCAAAACAAACCCGUCCUUGUCAUGACGAAGGUAAGUGUAUUCUACACUCCAAAAGUGGCAUCAAAAUGCACGAAUAUAGUCAGCACAAUUUAAUCAUAAACGCAAAUACAUCAAGCUCUAUCGAGCGAUGAAUCAAUAUGGCAGUGUUGUAAACAUAACCUUGUCAUAUCCACUAGAAAGCGAUAAGACAGAAACCAGUAAACGGCCGAAGCCUCUCAGAAAACGGAGACACACGUCUCAUAUAAGUUCACCCGGCCGAAGCCUCCAAAAAACAUUUUCCAAUUCAAAGCGAUAAACAAUAUCCAAGCAAUAUUCAAUAUCAAGCAAUACUCAAGUCGAAGUUAUCGACGCCUACAAUACAAAUAGCUAGUAAGUAAGUUGCCCUAACCUCGAGUUGUUCUAGUCUCGCGGUGCAGGUCUCGCUCACAAGCUUGCUCAGUCGAUCCCAAGGUUUCCACAAACAAACCUUAGAGCAAACAAAUCAAAAAUCAAUCAAAUUAAGUCGAUACAGUCGAAACAAUCCUAACUAACGUUCGACAAAGCUCAAGAAGCUUCAGAGUACAACAUUUAGGCACGAAUGGAAGGGCUUUCCCCGAAUGGAUGAGUUUUGACUCGAUUCAAGUUUUGUACAAAAACACUUUAUUCGCUAAAACGUGCAUAACUCGAGCUACAGAACUCAGAAUGACACAAAACCGGCGCUAAAAUUUUGACAAUUGAAAGAGCUACGCAAUGGCUCAGGUCAUAGAGACUGAAAAAUUAUUUUUGGACACGGUACCCAAUCAAAAAGGUUUCGGCCACUAUAGAAAAUAGGGUUUUCGAACUUUUUCUUCGAUCUAAAUCAAUUCCUAGGUAUUCUUAGGCGAUAUCUAGGCCAGGGAAACUCUCAGAAAAAUUAUCGGGUCGAAAACUGUCGCAGGGGUAUUUUGGUCAUUAUUUUUAGCUCAGAAACUCAAAAUCAGAAUUUCGAAAAACAAAUUCGAUGGGGUCGAUCCUAACGACAUUUAUAACAACUAAUCCUACUAAAGCUAAGCUAAUUCGUGAGUUUUUAGCUUAAAGAACGAAACUUUGCCCAAAAUGGGUAUUUCUCACAGAAAUCGAUUCCGGCAGCAUUCCGGCGACAUUACGGAAAAACUAAUCCGACAGAAGUGCUCUUGGGCACGUAGGGAAGAUGUUUAGACAGAGAAAUCAAGCUAUUUGGACAAUUUUACAAAAAGCUCCAAACUUUGAGCUCAGAAAAACAUAGAAAAAGUCGACAGAUCUGACGAUCAGAAGUGAGGGAUAGUAACUAUACCUCGAUGUCUUCGAUUAGCAACGAACGGUGAAGCAAUCGGGCAAGAAACGGCGAAAAUCAACUUCUCCUCUCCUCCUCUCAAGCUCUCGGCCACUCUCUCUCAAAGGUGAGAAUUUUUUUUUUUUUUUUCAUUUUCCACCUAUUUAUAGGAUUUGGAAAAUGCGGAAAAAUGAUUAUUUCGCGAUUCCGAUUUUUCCUACUGAUUCCAACGUAUUUUAGACACGAUAUUCUUCCCGCUGAAUCUUCUAAUUCUUCAAAGAAAUAUCAGUAUGAUUUUUGGUUUUCGAGGCUUGUUUUUAAUGCUUACCGGCAUUAAAAAUGCACUUUAUGCACUUUAUGAUAUUGACCUCGGAUGCAGAAACUUCCUUCUGAAGAAAGAUUUGGAACGUCGAUUAGAGUGGGCGUGCGUGGAUGAAAUCUUUAUUUGAAGCUCCGAAUAGAAAAAGUCUUCAUCGUCCGUCGAUUUUAGGGUUUUUGAACUAUCAGGGAUUCCGUUUCGGCAAACUUCCGAGAAUUGGAAUUUGACGUUCGUACAUUCCAGGGAUUUGCAUCGAAAUACUUGUUUAUAGACGAAUAAGAGAAAUUCUAACAUUUCUCUGAAGAUUUUUGGAAUUAGUUUCCAUCGCGUCCUAAAGUGUAAAUUAGCUAUUUACUAGUGUCUUUGACCUAGGCUUAGGCGAAUAUUAAUCGUGCUAUAACUCUUAUCGGUUUUGAUACAAUCCUUGAACUUUUCCUGAACCUUCUCCUUCAUAAAUUUAUUUCAUCCAAUAAACUCUUGUUCAGGUUUCCCUUCACGAUACAUCGAACUUAUUCGUUAAUAAGGAAUUCACUAAUUUAUUUUAAGCUUAAAAUCUUGGGUCUCACAAGGGUCAUGGAGGACCGGACGGAUGAGCGAGGACGCCUGACGAGAGGAGUGCUACGGCGUAUGGAGCUGAGUUUUGACUUGCCGCCCUCAGUUCACUGUGGACCAGGCACUGGUCAUGCACCACCUGCACCACCUCCGACUUCACCUUCUGUUGAGGAGGACCCGGCGGAGACCGAGCCUGCUGUUGCUGCACCUGUUGCGCCACCUCUUGCUACUGCCAUCAAUCCUACCGACGUGGCGUCGUUCUCUAUGCUUGUGCGGCCGAAGAGGGAGUCUGUCGUCCCAUCUGCCUCACGUCUCUUUUCUUUCUCUUCACCGCACGGCUACCGUGUGGACCCCUUGAUGAGGGUGGUGGAGGAGGAUGUUCUUACAGGAGAGGUGGAUGUGGAGACCGGCUCGACUAGGGCGGUGCGCAGGACAGUUAGGAGGGAGGUCGUUGACUUGGACACCGAGAUGGUUACGGUGGAUUCCGAUUCUGACUCCGAGAGCAGUGGGGAGAGCUACUCGCCGAGCAGCGACGAGGAGGAGGAGGAGUUAUGAGCUGAGUUGGGAGGGUAGGUUAGGACUAGCGUCAUUUUUUUGUGUAGACCUCUGAUCGCCAGUCUUUUUUUGGGACAGGGUAGGUUCCGAUGUGUGGCUUUUUGUGUGGUUCUUUUGAGGAGGAUCACAGAGAGUCUGUCGGAGUAUAGGAGUCUUUCUUCAGGCCAUUUUUGGGUGCCGACUUUCUCUGGAUAACUGUAUAUUGGAUACAUUUACUUACAGUGCUGGUUUUGUAUAUUUUUGCCUGCGGGCAUACUACUUGGAGUCACUGCGAGUGCGCGUGACAUGGAGUGCAGCUGAGGCUGUACAUGUGUAUAUAUUGUAUAUCGGUUAGUUUAGUUGUUGGGUUUUGUCUUUAUUUCCUUUAUCGCUUUUAUUUAAAGGAAUCAAUCGAAAAAAAAAAUUACCUGUUUUCCGCGUGAAGUUUAUUUUUGGUUACUAAAGUGACACCUGGAAAUCGGGGUGUUACAUUGUGGUAUCAGAGCUUAGUCGAGUCUUUUGGAAGUCUUUGGGGAAUAGGUCUUCUGUGCUAGGUUGUGUGACUCUGCAAAGAGUGAAAAUUGAUUGUCUGCAGAACGAUUUUUCGUUCUAAUUGAUUGUAUUAUUAUUACUUAACUAUAUGAAAUAGUUUUGGUACUCUCGUACGAUUAGGACUAACAGUUUUCUUGGGGGUAACAGACGAUGGUGAACACGAAUAAGCUAGCAGAGAUGAUGGCCACUAUGGCCCAGGCAAUGACUGUAAGACCCAAGUUUUUAAGCUUAGAAUAAGUGGAAGAGAUUUCCAUUUACGAUUAGGCUUGACGUAUCGUGAAGGAAAAACCUGAACAAGAGUUUAUCGAAAGGAAUAAAUUUAUGAAGGAGAAAGUUCAGGAAAAGUCUAAGGAUUUCAUCAAAGUCGAUAAAAGGUAUAGCACGAUCGAUAUACGCUUAAACCUAGGGCAGAAACCCUAGUAAAUAGCUAGUUUUCACUUAAAGGCACGAUGGAAGCUAAUUCCAAAAAAAAAAAUCUUCAGAGAAAUGUUAGAACUUCUCUUAAUCCUUAUAUGACAAUCGUUUCAAGGCGAAAUCCUUGAAUCUACGAACGUCCGAUUCCAAUCCUCGGAAGUUUGCCGAAACUAGAACCCUGAUAGUUCAAGAACCCUAGAAUCAACCGAUGAUGAAGAAUUUUUCUAUUCGGAGCUUCAAAUGAAGAUUCCACACUCGUACACCCAUUUUUCUUGAUGUUUUCAAUCUUUCUUCAGAAGGAAGUUUUCUAUUCCGGCAUCCACUGCAAAAAGUAACUUAUCGGGUAAAAUAGUUUUACACCGACUUUGUAUUAGUCACCUAAAAUACAAGGAGACCUCUUUUUAGUUUUGGAAUUAUGUCGCCAAAACCUAUCUUAGAAUUCACGGAGAACGAAGCCGGAAAAAAUCUGAAUCGCGAAACUUUCAUUUUCCCGCGUUUUUCAUCCUCUAUAUUGCAAGCCUCGAAAACCAAAAAUCAUACUGAUAUUUCUUUGAAGAAUUAGAAGAUUCAGCGGGGAGAAUAUCGUGUCUAGAAUACGUUGGAAUCAGUAGGAAGAAUCGGAAAUCACUCUCAUAUUUUUAUCUUAACUCUAUGAGCUAAAUCCUCCGAUAUCUAAACAAAUCUGUACCGGUUUACAAAAUAUCUAUUCAUCUUUAUCCAAUCUUUGAUAAAUAUCUAUUCAUCUUUAUCCAAUCUUUGAUAAAUAUCUAUUCAUCUUUAUCCAAUCUUUGAUAAAUAUCUAUUCAUCCUUAUCCAAUCUUUACAAAAUAUCUUCCAUUUGAUUCACUAUAUAUAGGUUGUUGUAGCUUGAAAAAUGAAAAACAAAAAACCUCACAAACACACACACACAACCCGCGGCUUGGAGAGAAGAAGGAGGAGGAGAUCUUUUCGCCGAUUCUUGUCUGAUCGUCCCAUAGUUCGUUGCUACGAGUAGGCCUCAAGGUACUGACGCUUUUCCUUACUUCUGAUCGUAAAUUCUGUAGCUUUUCUCUAUACUUUUAUGUGCUCUUAGUUUUGAGGUUUUUGCAAAACUAUCUAGAUAACUUCAUCUUUUUAUCUAAACUUAUUCCUUGCGUGCCCCUGAGCAUGUUUAGCGGAUUACAUUUCGCCGAUUCUCGCCGAAUUGCCGCCGAGUUUCAAUUCUGCUCAUAAUACCCAUUUUUGGCUAAAGUUCCAACCUUUGGGCUUAAAACCCUCGACUGAGCUUAGCGUUAGUAAGAUUAGUCGUCAUAAUCGUCGUUAGUAUCAACCCCAUCUAAUUUGUUUUUCGAAACUCUGAUUUUGAAAUUCUGAGCUGAAAAUAAUGACCAAAAUACCCCUGCGACAGUUUUCGAUCCGAUAAUUUUUCCGAGUUUAGAAUACCCUUAGUUACGACUAAUGAUAACCUAGGAACCAAGUUUGAUCGAAGAAAAAUCGACACACACAAUUACCAUGUGUGGCCGAGAGCUACCCUAGGAGGAGGAAGAAAAUUCUUUUUCGAAAACUUGUCCUUUCGCGCUAGAUUAUCGUACCUCGGAGUAUAUGCUACUUCGUGUAACCUUAGUGAGUAUUGAUUGCUGAGUUUCGGAUAGAUUUUGAUGGAAUUCUGUGGGUUUUACUCUAAGGUUCUUUUGAGGAAUUUCCUGAAGAACAAGGAGCUGAUUGUGAAGGAGCGUUUGAAGAGAACCCUGGAGAAUCUACAAGUGAGGGCUACUCACUGAACUAUUAGCUAAUGCUUUAGGUGUCGACAUAUUCGACUUGAUUUACUGUUUAUGCACUUAUUUGUGUUUGACUGGGAAAUGUUUUCUGAGGCUUCGGCUGACAAUAUAGAUUAUUCAUCUACUGACUGUUUUUUUGAGUUUUGAAUCAUAUGCUAUGUGCUACAUGGUUAAUCUAGGAUGUGUGAUAUCUGCUAAUUAUGCUAAGUGCUACAUGUUUAAAUUAGGAUAUGUUGAUACAUGAUUUAUGAUUGUUGGACUGUGCUAAUUUAACUAUGCCAUUACACCUAUAUCUGUUAUGCUUCAGAGUGAGGAUAACAGGCAUGUCAUGCCGAUUUUAUUUUGAGAUUUUGGGGAAGUUGAUGGGACGGACCGAGGUUCGUACCCUAUUAUUGUUUUAUGGAUCGAGACCUUCUCAAAGGAAAAUUGAGUUUGAAAAUGAUAUUGGAAAAACCCCAUUUGAAUUCACGUAAGAACUUGGGUUGUUCUGUCUAAGGCAAGAAGGGCUUUUAAUGAGGCAUUGUGCCCGACCAGCUUACCUGGGAACUUCUCGGGCCAUUACUUGGGUUAUGAUGGACCUUUUGUUUUGAGACCUUCUCCAGGGAAUCACUGGAAUUAUAGGAUCUUGGAAACUAAUAGGAUUAGAGACGAAACUUAAACAAUUUCAUAAUGAACCUCCAUAAUGUAUUAAACAACCUCAAAACCCUUAAUAUAAUGAUAAAAGACUCAGACGAAAGUUUAGGUCUUGAACAUUAAAUUUUGAAAAUGAGAAGUGUCGUCGAGUCCAAGAGUUGAGAAAACUAAUAAGUUUCUGAGUAUGUUGAUACUCCUUCGCUCUUUGAGCAGUUUGUUUAGCCAUCCAAGGGAUGAGCCGAGAAGCUUCACUGAGGCGUGAAACCUUGUGAAAGCGUGAAUCUUCACUGAGGCGUGAGACCUUGUGAAAAGCAUGGAUCUUCACUGAGGCGUGAGACCUCGUGAAUAGCAUGAAACUUCAUUGAAGCGUAAGACUUCGUGCAAGUGUGUAAAUUCACUGGGGCGUGAGACCCCGUGAAAGCAUAAAACUUCACUGAAGCGUGAGACUUUGUGAAUGUGUAAGACUCCACUGAAGCGUGAGACUUCGUGAGAGCAUUGAUGACUCGAAGAGUUAUCGUGAGUGUUUGCACUCUUUUUAUGAUUAAUUGUAUUUUGUCGCAGAAUCGACUUUUACCUUAGGGUAUUCUUUUUAGAGACAAAUAAGUUAGUUAGAACACGUGGCGACGUGUCGAGUGAGGUCGGAGACGUUGUUUGGCUAAUCACUUUGCAUUCAUGCACUCAUUUUGAGGUAUUAACACGAGACGGACUUCGGACCUCGGUGGAUUCCAAAAUGGUCAUAAGACCCGGAUUUCCAUAUAAGAACAUUGCGGUGAUUCUUAGUAGCAGACGGAAAUGGCAGACCUUCGGGUUCACUGCUGAUCUGACUACACUUUGUGUGGUGUAAGAGACACGCGAGCGGAAAUGGUCCCACCGUUGCUGGUGCUAGGAUUGACUCGUUAGUGCCCAUCCGUUCCGGAAUGCAUUUGGUUAACCGGCAUUGCAUUUCAUGCAACAUGCAUACUGACUUAUUUGCUGAGUGUGAUUGAUAAUUGUUAAUCUAUUUGACGCAUGCUAAUUGUUAUUAUCGUCUUUUAUAUUCAUUGUGAACUGUACAACCCUAGGAUGCUAUCUAUAACUUAUAAUCCUAAGUGGCUACUCCUUAUCUUUACCUAUUGGAUUUAUUAUUUACAUAAUUCUUUGGAGUUGACCCUCGCGUCUUCUGUGUGUGCUUUGGCGGACUACGCCCUUUGUCAGAUGUCCAUGGCGGACUGGUUCAUGAUGGUUCACCCUUCGGGGGGAACUAGGGUUGAGAUGCUGGAACAGGAGCGCAUCGCGGUUGCGAGAGGAGGACAGGUAGUGUACAUAGACUUGGUCGUUCUGGAUUCAGAUUCAGACGACGAUCAUGCUAGCAUGUAGGUCUUAGUGCUGGUGUGAGCUCCUCGAGAUAGGAUUAGUGUAGGAGUAGAGUCUUAGCUCUGAACAUCAUUUAUUUCCUUGGGGACAGGGUAGUUUCCCGCCUAUAGCUUUUUGUGUGGUUCCUCUACGGGGAUCACAGAGAGUUGGUUGGGCUAGGAGGUCUUGUUUUAGGCCGUUUGGGCCGCCUUAUUCUCAUUUUUGAGGGAUAGUGUUGCGGACACUUGACCUUUCUUUUAGAUUGUACCUUUUUCCUACGGGCGCUACUUUCUGUUACUUCCCGUCACUGGAGGUUUACUCGUGACGUGGUUUGCUACUUACAGCGGGGGCUGUAUUUAUAUUAUACAUUAGUUUUGUUAUCUUUUGUUGGGAGUUUAUUUCUUUCAGCCUUUGGUUCUAUUAUCAAAAAAAAUAUUCACGUUUUUCCGCUUUAAUUUCUUUUUGGUUACUAAAGUGACGCCACCGAAAUCGGGGUGUUACAAUGACUAACCAAGCGAAUGACAAUGCUUUAAGGCGUGCUGCGGAGGAAGCGCGUGAUCAACACCAGCGUCAGAGGGAGGCGACUCUAGAUCAGAACAAAGGGUUGAAUGACUUCAGGAGACAGGAUCCACCUAAGUUUUCGGGAGGUACUGACCCGGACAAAGCGGAUCUUUGGAUAGAAGAAAUUGAGAAGAUCUUUGGAGUGUUACAGACUGCUGAGGGAGCCAAAGUGGGGCUGGCAACCUAUCUGUUGUUGGGAGAUGCUGAGUACUGGUGGAGAGGCGCCAGAGGGAUGAUGGAAGCCAAUCAUAUUGAAGUGAACUGGAACUCUUUUCGAACUGCUUUUCUCGAGAAGUAUUUCCCAGAUAGUGCUCGUGAUGAGCGUGAAUCACAGUUUCUGACUCUUAAACAAGGAAGCAUGACCAUUCCGGAAUAUGCUGCCAAGUUGGAGUCUCUGGCAAAACACUUUCGGUUUUUCCGAGAUCAAGUUGAUGAACCCUACAUGUGCAAGCGAUUUGUGAGGGGAUUGAGACCUGAUAUUGAAGACUCAGUGAGACCGUUGGGGAUCAUGAGAUUCCAGGCAUUGGUUGAGAAGGCAACUGAGGUGGAGAUGAUUAAGAAUCGAAGACUGAACAGGGGGACCGGUGAGGUCGACACCACAGAGUUUUCAAGGAAGAGGAAGGUUUCAAGCAAGGAAGCCAUAUCAACGUCCUGCGGGGAGAGGGUUUAGCCCGGGAUCUUACAAGCCGAUGGCUGCUGCUGCUAAUUCUGAAGGGUCGGGAAGCCGUACCCAAAACCGUGAGGUGACUUGUUUCCGGUGUGGAGGAACCGGGCACUAUGCAAACAAUUGCACGAGACCACCAAGAUGCUACAACUGCAAUAAAUCUGGGCAUCUGGCUAUGGAUUGCAAGGCACCAAAGGUUGAACCGUCUGUGAAUGUUGUUAGUGGGAAGCGCCCAGUGGCGAAGGGAAGAGUGUAUACCAUGGAUGGUGAAGAGGCUGAAGGAGCAGAUGGAUUGAUCAGAGGAGAAUGUGAAAUUGACGGUAAUCUUCUAACUAUACUCUUUGAUUCUAGUGCAACUCAUUCUUUUGUCUCUAAGGAUUGCGUAUCAAGACUGCAUCUGCCUAUUACUACUUUGAGCUUUGAUCUUAUGGUAACUACACCUGCUAGGACUCUAAUUGCUAAUGCCGCAUGCAUGCACUGUUCAGUAGUAUAUAAAGAUAGAACUUUUCAUGCCAACCUAGUAUGUCUACCCCUUAAAAACCUAGAUGUAAUCCUAGGGAUGGAUUGGUUAUCCCACUACCAUUGUCUUUUGGACUGUAGUCGAAAGAAAGUGGUGUUCCCAGACUCGGAUCUUUUCGAGUAUCUUUCUAUUAACCACAUUAGUGCAUCGUUGAGCGAGGGCACUCAGAAGUACUUUUCAUUGCUAAGUCUGGAGGGGAAGAAGGAAUCGGAUAUUCAUGGUAUUCCGGUGGUUCGAGAUUUUGCGGAUGUUUUUCCUGGAGAUGUACCUGGACUACCGCCUGUACGCGAUGUAGAGUUUGUGAUCGACAUUGUACCCGGAACUGGACCGAUUUCGAUUGCACCUUACCGUAUGGCACCUGCGGAGUUAGUAGAGUUGAAAUCUCAGUUGGAGGAUCUUUCGGCAAAAGGAUUCAUUCGACCAAGUGUUUCACCGUGGGGAGCGCCAGUGCUUCUAGUUAAGAAGAAAGACGGAAGGUCGAGAUUGUGUGUGGAUUAUCGACAGCUGAACAAGGCGACGAUCAAGAACCGAUACCCGUUGCCGAGGAUAGAUGAUUUGAUGGAUCAAUUACGAGGGGCUGCCGUAUUUUCCAAGAUAGACUUGAAGUCAGGCUACCAUCAGAUCAGAGUGAAGACUGAGGAUAUACCAAAGACUGCAUUCAGAACACGCUACGGACACUAUGAGUACCUAGUGAUGCCGUUUGGAGUGACAAAUGCACCUGCCGUUUUCAUGGAUUACAUGAACCGUAUCUUCCAUGAGUUCUUAGAUCGGUUUGUGGUGGUGUUUAUUGAUGACAUAUUGAUCUACUCGAAGGACGCAAAGGAACAUGAAGGACUUUUGCGCCAAGUUUUACAAGUGUUGAGAGAGAAGAAGCUGUAUGCGAACCCUUCCAAGUGCGAAUUCUAGCUGGAGGAAGUUAAUUUCUUAGGCCAUGUUAUCUCAAAGGAAGGUAUAGCUGUGGAUCCAGCGAAAGUGGAGACUGUUUUGGCUUGGGAGCAACCGAAGACAGUGACAGAAAUCAGAAGUUUUGUGGGUUUAGCUGGAUAUUAUAGACACUUCAUUGAGGGAUUUGCCAAGAUUGUUGGACCUUUGACUCAAUUGACGAGGAAGGAUCAACCUUUUGCAUGGACCGAGGUGUGUGAAUCAAGUUUUCAGACUUUGAAGGAACGGUUGACGACGUCACCUGUGCUUAUUUUGCCACAACCGGAGGAACCUUAUGAGGUUUAUUGUGAUGCUUCGUAUCAAGGCUUGGGAUGUGUGCUGAUGCAACAUCGAAAAGUGGUGGCUUAUGCUUCGAGACAGUUGAAGACUCAUGAGAAGAACUAUCCGACUCACGAUUUGGAGUUAGCUGCCAUUGUGUUUUCGCUGAAAAUCUGGAGGCAUUAUCUCUAUGGUUGUACUUUCACAAAAUUUAGCGAUCACAAGAGCCUUAAAUACUUGUUUGAUCAGAAGGAGCUGAACAUGAGACAACGAAGAUGGAUGGAGUUCAUCAAAGACUACGAGUUUACGUUGCAAUAUCACCCUGGGAAGGCGAAUGUAGUUGCUGAUGCUUUGAGCAGAAAGAUGCAUGUCUCGUCAAUGAUGGUUAAAGAGCUGGAGUUACUGGAACAAUUUCGAGAUAUGAGCUUAGGUGUGACACCGUCUGAGGGAAAGUUGAAAUUCGGAAUGAUCAGAAUUGCCAGUGGACUGAUGGAAGAGAUUAGAGGAAAACAACUGCAAGAUGGCUAGAGAAGAGGAACUUAGUAAUUCAAGGGAAAGACCCGGAAUUCAAGUUAGGAACUGAUGAUAUCUUAAGAUGCAAGGACAGAGUUUGUGUACCCAAUAAUCCGGAAUUGAGAAGACUGAUCAUGGAUGAAGGACACAAGAGCAAAUGGAGUAUUCAUCCGGGAAUGACAAAGAUGUAUCAAGAUUUAAAACUGAAUUUCUGGUGGCCAGGAAUGAAGAAACAAGUGGCUGAGUAUGUAGCUGCAUGUUUGACUUGUCAGAAGGCGAAGGUAGAGCAUCAAAGACCUGCUGGUAUGCUACAGAGUUUAGACGUGCCAGAGUGGAAAUGGGAUAGUAUAUCUAUGGAUUUUGUGGUAGCUUUGCCAAGAACACAGAAGAGACACGAUUCGAUUUGGGUGAUUGUGGAUCGUUUGACCAAGUCAGCGCAUUUUCUACCAGUGAGAACUUUCUACAAUGUGGAAAAGUUGGCUGAGAUUUAUGUGGCGGAGAUUGUGAGACUACACGGAGUUCCAACAAGUAUUGUGUCUGAUCGGGAUCCAAAGUUUACUUCGCACUUUUGGGGAGCUCUUCAUGAUGCGUUAGGAACCAAGUUGAGGUUGAGUUCGGCGUAUCAUCCACAAACUGAUGGACAAACAGAGAGAAGUAUUCAGUCGCUAGAGGAUCUACUACGGGCUUGUGUGUUAGAUAACAGAGGAAGCUGGGAUGAUCUUCUGCCAUUGAUUGAAUUCACCUACAACAAUAGUUUUCAUGCGAGCAUUGGGAUGGCACCGUAUGAAGCUUUGUAUGGUCGAAAGUGUAGGACACCGUUGUGUUGGUAUCAAGAUGGAGAGAGUUUGUUGAUUGGGCCGGAAAUGCUGCAACAGACGACUGAGAAGGUUAAGCAGAUCAGAGAACAGAUGAGAGCUUCACAGAGCAGACAGAAGAGUUAUGCUGAUCAGAGACGUAGAACCCUAGAGUUUGAGGAAGGUGAUCAUGUGUUUCUACGAGUUACUCAGACUACGGGGGUUGGACGAGCUAUUAAGUCAAGGAAGCUCACGCCAAAGUUCAUUGGGCCUUAUCAAAUCACUCGACGUGUUGGACCAGUUGCAUAUUAGAUUGCACUACCACCAUUUCUUUCCAACAUGCAUGAUGUAUUUCAUGUGUCGCAGUUGAGGAAGUACAUUCCAGAUCCGACUCAUGUAAUCGAGCCAGACAAUGUUGAACUGAAGGAUGAUUUGACCUUUGAGGCACCGCCAGUGAGUAUUGGGGAUAGAAGAGUAAAACAGCUGAGGGGAAAGCAGAUUUCGUUGGUAAAGGUGAUAUGGAACAAGGAUACGGGGGACGCUACAUGGGAAUUGGAAGAUAAGAUUAAGGAACUGUACCCCGGACUUUUUGCUGAACUCUGAGUUUCGAGGACGAAACUUUCUUUUUGGAGGGGAGUAUUGUAAGACCUGAAUUUUCAGAACAAGUUAAUUUCCCACUCACGCGUAGAAUCAGUGUAAGCGUGACAAGAGUUUGAUAUUUGAGAAAGAUUAAUGAAGAAGAAAGUUCAGGAAUUCCUUGAGGAAUGUUGAGUAGUUGCUUUCGGAGUUAGUACGAGUCGUCUGCACACCUGCCUUAUGGCGAGCGUGUCCAGAAUAGGCUAAUUUCGCUUUAGAGCAACGUUUUAAGUGAGAUUUCGAAUCCUUGGAAAAUUUAAAGAUUCUCUUUAUUUUUCCUUCGACCAGCGUUUCAUUUCGGAACUCUGGACUGUACGCACGAUAGUAUUCACUUUUCGGAAGUCCGCCGACGCUAAUUUCUUUGCUUCGAAACCCUAGAUUCGAGCGAUGGAUGAAGAAUUUUUCUAUUCGGGACUUCUAACGAAGUUUCCGUCCGCGUUGCCAGAUUUGUUUCGAGUACAAAGUUUUGUCGUUUGAGCAUCACAGCAAAAAGUAGUUUUUCGGGACAGACUAAUUUACACCGCCUUUGGGAUUUUAGAUAUCGUUUUUCCCAAAUCAUAGAUAUCUGUUUUGAGUUCUGGAAUUCUGACGCCAGAAUCUCUCUUAGAAUUCCUCGGUGAACGUGCUGCAAAAAUCGGAAUCGCGAAAUUUUUAUUUUCCCGCGAUUUCACCUACCUAUAAAUUGCUCGAAAAUCAAAAAUAUCUUCAUUUCCACACCAUCAAAGCCGCGAGUUUGAGGAGAGCUUGGGGGAGAAGAUUUUUUCGCGAAAACUUGACUGAUCUUCGUGCAGUUCGUCCCUACUUCUAGGUAUUGAGGUAACUAGCAUGAUUCCUACCUCUGAUUACUGUUUCUGUUGCGUUUCUGAAGUCGUUUCUGUGCUCACAGUUUUGAGCUUUUUCUAAAAUUGUUCGAUUUCUCUGAUUUCUUGGUUGGGGUUUGUUCUCUAGGUUCCCAAGAGCCUAAAACCUCUGUCAGUAAUCGCUGAUUGUGAUCCAGUUGACAGGGAUCUGAAAAACUGAUUCAAAACCCUUUUUGUCUCACAUUUCGAAACUUUAUUGUCGAAAAGCUGUAAUCUGACUUCGUGCCUUUAGGAUUUGUUGUCACGGAUGUCGUUAGGAUCAAUGCUGUCAAAUUUGUUUUCCGAACUGAUAACUUUGAGGUUUUGAGCUUUUAUUUUGGACCAAAAGGCCCCUGGAUAGCCGUAUUUCGACCCGAUUGUCCGAAAAUUGUUCCGACAGUUUCUUUGCCUUAGUUUUACCCUAAAACUACCUUGUGAAUUGAUUUGAUCGAAGAAAAAGAGCCGAAGCCCUUUUUCCUUAAGGGCCGUGGGCUAUUCCUUUAGGGGGGGAGUUUUUCGUUUUCGAAAACUUGUCUUUUCGUACCCGAUUGUCGUAUUCUGAAGCUUUAAUGCUUUGUCUAUCGUUUAUGUAUUGUAUUGCGAUCGAACUAAUCGAUUUUGUGUGGAUUCUGCUUUGUUGACUCCGAGGUUCAGUUGAAGGAACUUUGGAAGGUUCAGAGCACUUGAGUGAAGGAGCUUGUGAUUUCGAAGCUGGAUCAGCUCGAGGUUAGGGCAACUUACUAUAUUAGCUAUGAUUGCAUGAUAGGCGUCGAUAAAUUCGACUUAUGCUUUAUCUGAUGUUGUUUAUGAUGGUGAGUUGAUGUUAUGAUGCUUUUCCAUAACUUGUGAUGUUGUGCUGUUGUUGGAUUGUGCGUUUUGACGCAACUUCGGAGUGGAGAUUCAUUGAUCUGGUGAUCUUUGAUAUUUCGGGUUGGAUGAACAACCCUAGGCAAGUUCAAACGAGGGGUUUGAGACUUAGCCAUUUGUUGGUAUUCGUUGGUUUACUUAGACUUCCCCCGGAAAACUUCUU